This is a small nuclear RNA of Panthera pardus (leopard), 99 nucleotides long. The record is from Ensembl. NCBI's taxonomy places the organism in Eukaryota, Metazoa, Chordata, Mammalia, Carnivora, Felidae.
GUGCGCGCUUCGGCAGCACAUAGACUAAAAUUGGAAGGAUACAGAGGAGAUUUGCAUGGCCCCUGGCAAGGAUGACAGGCGGAUUUGUUCUCACUGUGG